RNAcentral lists this small RNA (104 nucleotides) under uncultured Streptococcus sp. RNAcentral's name for it is "Streptococcus sRNA SpF44". It matches the Rfam family "Streptococcus sRNA SpF44". Lineage: Bacteria; Bacillati; Bacillota; Bacilli; Lactobacillales; Streptococcaceae. The record is from RNAcentral.
AUGUCAUCCCGUGAGGUGACGAAGACGCAGAUAUACAUAACAUUCAUUAAAAUGUUUUCAAUUAUUUUUUUAAUGAAGUCUUACUCUGAGAGCCUAUUGCUGUA